RNAcentral lists this long non-coding RNA (2690 nucleotides) under Homo sapiens (human). RNAcentral's name for it is "non-protein coding BAIAP2-DT:28". The record is from RNAcentral. Lineage: Eukaryota; Metazoa; Chordata; Mammalia; Primates; Hominidae.
CGUCAGGAGUCACUGAGAAGGAGGCAGAGAGUGUAAGUGUGCAGCCUUCAUCAGCUUAUUUUUAGUCGCGUUAUGUAAGUGGCUUCAUCUCAACGUCACAUGGGGGGGGGUCUCAGAUUUAAUUACAGGAUGACAGCCUUUGCUUUUCAAGCAAGCUGUUCUCCUGGCAAGCCAGGCGAAGGAUUGGGGAGUUUUGCUAAACAGAAGGAGCCCUUUCUGAGGUGACCACCCGUCAAAACUUGAACCCGCUUCCACCUCCGUCUCCCUCUUCCCGACCAGCCUCACCCAGCCUCGGCUGAAUGUGGCCUGAGAGUAGCCACUUGUCCGCAAUCACAGGGACGUUUUAUGCCUGUCAAGGGAGCUUCCUCUCUCCUCUUCCUCCCCCUCCCACCUUCUGCCUGGCAGCUUUGCCUUCUCUCCAAGAGAAGGGUCCACCCAAUCAGAACUCCUCUUCCUUUUCAUUCCUGGAUUAAAGCACUUGUAAUCAGUAACCAGAAAGUUCCAGAGCGGGAGAGACCGGAAGGCACUGGAGUGCUAUCGGACGGGUGUCUGGGGCAGAGCCAGGAGGGCGAGCCUCUUCUCUCCCCGCCUGCCCUUGCUCACUUCCCCCUCCAUGCCAGGUGCUGUGGGAGCAGCUGGGCCUGGCCGGGGUCGGCGGGUGAAGCUAUCCGCAUGGUGUCUGGAGCACCGUUUCUUUGCUUCCUGGAUGGGCUGGAUGGGCUCCCGUGUUCUUCACCAAUGGCAGCGUUACCAGCACCAAUGGCAGCGUUACCAGCAAGAAGGCAAAGGCAGGAGCACAUCGAGGGUGGGAGCCAGGGCUGUGGGGUCAGGAGUCCCGCUCCUUGCCGCGGGAAGCCUGGCUCAGCCACCUCCAGCACACUUCGGCUUUGUCCAGCAUAAAAGGCAGAGCGACGUUUUCACUGCAGGCUGUUUCCCACCAGGGCAAGUGGGACAGGGCGAGUGCUGACGUCUGCAGGCAUGGUGUGCAUUUAGGGGUGGGCGGCACCGAGGGGGCAUCAUUUGGCAUAGGCGGGCCCGGGGGCCACUGGGCUAGAUGACUGGCUGGUUGCUGGGGGCAGGUGUCACAGCCUCUCUGAGCACCCUCUAAGUGGAGGACAGAACAUUGUUGGGAGGAGUCCAGGCAUAAAGUGACAUAAACAGCGCAGAGAAUGGGACCAGCGCACCUGAGAGGUGAUCAUUAGCCUCAGCAACUGGAUGGGACAUUCCGAAGAGCUCCCAGCCAACACAGAUGGUCACUCCAGAGGCUGACAUUUAAAAGGAAGGGGCCCGGCCGGGCACAGUGGCUCACGCCUGUAAUCACAACACUUUGGGAGGCUGAGGCGGGCAGAUCAACUGGGGUCAGGAGUUCAAAACCAGCCUGGCCAACAUGGUGAAACCGCAUCUCUGCUGAAAAUACAAAAAAUUAGCCAGGCAUGGUGGUGGGCACCUGUAAUCCCAGCUACUCAGGAGGCUGAGGUAGGAGGAUCGCUUGAACCCAGGAAGUAGAGGUUGCAGUGAGCCGAGAUUGUGCCAUUGCACUCCAGCCUGGGCGACAAGCGAAACUUCGUCUCAAAAUAAAUAAAAGUAAGGGGCACAGGGAGGGGGCCCCAGCUCGUGCCCCUUCUGUGUGGGCUGCACAUGGUGACUUCCUUCCAGAGAGCACAGAGUGGGAGGUAGGCAAGGCGUCUCCACAGUGGAGAGCCCGACCCACUGUCUCAGCCCAGAGGUCAAGGCUGGCACCAUCACCGAGAGGUCACACGGGCAGAUGUGACAGGGCGCUUCACCACUGGGCUCUUCCUCCCAGACCCAUAACCCUUGUCUUAGUAUUAGAAAAACACUGGCAGACCGGGCGCAGUGGCUUACACCUGUAAUCGCAGCAUUUUGGGAGGCCGAGGUGGGAAGAUUGUUCAAGAGCAGUCUGGGCAACAUGGUGAGACCCCAUCUCUACAAAAAAAAUUUUUUUUUUAAUUAGCCAGGCGUGAUGGCACAUGCCUGUGGUCCUAGCCACUAGAGGCUGAGGUGGGAGGAUCACUGGAGCCCAGGAGGUCAAGGCUGCAGUGAGCUGUGAUCACACCACUGCACUCCAGCCUUGGCGACAAACCAAGACCCUGUCUCGAAAAGAAAAGAAAAGAAACAUUAGGCAAAUCCCAACAGGGGGACACUCUACAGAAAAACCGACCAGCCCUCCUGAAAACUUCCCAAGUCAUCAAAACCAAGGAAAGUGGGCUGGGCGCGGUGGCUCACACCUUAAUCCCAGCACUUUGGAAGGCUGAGGCGGGCAGAUCACAAGGUCAGGAGUUUGAGACCAGCCUAGCCAACAUGGUGAAAUCUCAUCUCUAAAAAUACAAAAAUUAGCCGGGCGUGGUGGCAGGCGCCUGUAGUCCCAGCUACUCGGGAGGCUGAGGCAGGAGAAUUGCUUGAACCCAGGAGGCGGGGGUUGCAGUGAGCUGAGAUGAUGCCACUGCAUUCUGGCCUGGGUGACAGAAUGAGACUCUGUCUCAAAAUAAAAAAAACCAAAAACCAAAAAACAACCAAGCAAAGUCUGAGAAACUGUCACAGCCUAGAGGAACCUGGAGACAGCUGAUCCCUAAAUGUCACGUGGGAUCCUGGGUGGGGUCCUGGGAGAGAAAGAAGACAUUGGAGGGAAACUGAGGAAAUAUGAAUAAAGUAUGGGCUUUAGUUAAUAAUAA